This 577-nucleotide ribosomal RNA is filed under the name Clostridioides difficile. RNAcentral's name for it is "bacterial SSU rRNA". It matches the Rfam family "Bacterial small subunit ribosomal RNA", at positions 221 to 816 of the family's 1533-position model. The record is from RNAcentral. Lineage: Bacteria; Bacillati; Bacillota; Clostridia; Peptostreptococcales; Peptostreptococcaceae. RNAcentral also lists the same sequence under 1 other name.
CAGGAUGGACCCGCGUCUGAUUAGCUAGUUGGUAAGGUAACGGCUUACCAAGGCGACGAUCAGUAGCCGACCUGAGAGGGUGAUCGGCCACAUUGGAACUGAGACACGGUCCAAACUCCUACGGGAGGCAGCAGUGGGGAAUAUUGCACAAUGGGCGAAAGCCUGAUGCAGCAACGCCGCGUGAGUGAUGAAGGCCUUCGGGUCGUAAAACUCUGUCCUCAAGGAAGAUAAUGACGGUACUUGAGGAGGAAGCCCCGGCUAACUACGUGCCAGCAGCCGCGGUAAUACGUAGGGGGCUAGCGUUAUCCGGAUUUACUGGGCGUAAAGGGUGCGUAGGCGGUCUUUCAAGUCAGGAGUGAAAGGCUACGGCUCAACCGUAGUAAGCUCUUGAAACUGGGAGACUUGAGUGCAGGAGAGGAGAGUGGAAUUCCUAGUGUAGCGGUGAAAUGCGUAGAUAUUAGGAGGAACACCAGUUGCGAAGGCGGCUCUCUGGACUGUAACUGACGCUGAGGCACGAAAGCGUGGGGAGCAAACAGGAUUAGAUACCCUGGUAGUCCACGCUGUAAACGAUGAGUAC